RNAcentral lists this ribosomal RNA (460 nucleotides) under uncultured bacterium. RNAcentral describes it as "partial 16S ribosomal RNA". It matches the Rfam family "Bacterial small subunit ribosomal RNA", at positions 338 to 795 of the family's 1533-position model. The record is from RNAcentral.
CCUACGGGCGGCAGCAGUGAGGAAUAUUGGUCAAUGGGCGCUAGCCUGAACCAGCCAAGUAGCGUGAAGGAUGACUGCCCUAUGGGUUGUAAACUUCUUUUAUAUAGGAAUAAAGUGCAGUAUGUAUACUGCUUUGCAUGUACUUUAUGAAUAAGGAUCGGCUAACUCCGUGCCAGCAGCCGCGGUAAUACGGAGGAUCCGAGCGUUAUCCGGAUUUAUUGGGUUUAAAGGGAGCGUAGGCGGGUUGUUAAGUCAGUUGUGAAAGUUUGCGGCUCAACCGUAAAAUUGCAGUUGAUACUGGCAGCCUUGAGUACAGUAGAGGUAGGCGGAAUUCGUGGUGUAGCGGUGAAAUGCUUAGAUAUCACGAAGAACUCCGAUUGCGAAGGCAGCCUGCUGGACUGUAACUGACAUUGAUGCUCGAAAGUGUGGGUAUCAAACAGGAUUAGAUACCCUUGUAGUC